ACGGGGUGCAGCAGGCGCGAAACCUCUGCAAUGCGCGAAAGCGCGACAGGGCCACCCCGAGUGUUAGGCGCUGAGUCUAGCUUUUCCUUAGUGUAGUGAGCUAGGGGAAUAAGCGGGGGGCAAGCCUGGUGUCAGCCGCCGCGGUAAUACCAGCUCCGCGAGUGGUCGGGACGAUUAUUGGGCCUAAAGCGUUCGUAGCCGGCCUAUCAAGUCUCUGGUUAAAUUUCAAGGCUUAACCUUGAGCGUGCUGGAGAUACUGUUAGGCUAGGGGGCGGGAGAGGUUGAGGGUACUUCACGGGUAGGGGCGAAAUCCUAUAAUCCGUGAAGGACCACCAGUGGCGAAGGCGCUCAGCUGGAACGCGCCCGACGGUGAGGGACGAAAGCCAGGGGAGCAAAGGGGAUUAGAUACCCCCGUAGUCCUGGCUGUAAACGAUGCGGGCUAGGUGUUGGGUUGGCUUCGUGCCAACCCGGUGCCGCAGCGAAGGCGAUAAGCCCGCCGCCUGGGAAGUACGGCUGCAAGGCUGAAACUUAAAGGAAUUGGCGGGGGAGCAC
This 552-nucleotide ribosomal RNA is filed under the name uncultured archaeon. Its description in RNAcentral is "bacterial SSU rRNA". It matches the Rfam family "Archaeal small subunit ribosomal RNA", at positions 325 to 879 of the family's 1478-position model. The record is from RNAcentral.